Long non-coding RNA from Enhydra lutris kenyoni (northern sea otter), 421 nucleotides. RefSeq lists it as uncharacterized. The transcript is spliced from 5 exons. The record is from RefSeq and is a predicted model, not a curated record. Lineage: Eukaryota; Metazoa; Chordata; Mammalia; Carnivora; Mustelidae.
ACCUGCCUCUCCGUGAGGUCCAGCAGGGCCGCAAUUUCGACGCGGCGCGGCCGGCACAGACCCAAUGGUGGUUGGGCUCCGGGUCACGUGACGACUUCUUUGUAGCUCCGGAAGAGAACUGUGAAGUUUAGGUUGCUUGGAAGAAGCAGUAAACGGCCAGAUUUUGUUAUUGUUGUUGUUGUUGUGUAAGGGGUGGCCAGGAAGUUGUGGCCAAAGGAGCAAGAAGACAAAAGGUCAAUGAGAAAAACUGAGAAGCAAGAGAAUUGGAAGGGGGGGAAAAAUCAAGAUUUGGAGAAAUUAACCACAGAGAUGGAAGGUGUGUUAAUUUGGGCGCUUCUUGGAUUCUACCCUGAGGAGGAGGCGCAUGAUCUUGAUCUGCCGCUCGCUGAGGUUCAGCAGGUUGGCCAUCUCCACGCGGCGC